GCCCAGACUCCUACGGGAGGCAGCAGUUGGGAAUCUUGGACAAUGGGGGAAACCCUGAUCCAGCCAUGCCGCGUGAGUGAUGAAGGCCUUCGGGUUGUAAAACUCUUUCGACGGGGACGAUAAUGACGGUACCCGUAGAAGAAGCUCCGGCUAACUUCG
This 159-nucleotide ribosomal RNA is filed under the name uncultured bacterium. RNAcentral describes it as "partial 16S ribosomal RNA". It matches the Rfam family "Bacterial small subunit ribosomal RNA", at positions 329 to 505 of the family's 1533-position model. The record is from RNAcentral.